AGCAUAUAUAUUCAGUUAUAGCACAUAGCAUAUAUAUUCAGUUAUAGCUGAAUAACAAAUGGCGGUCAUUCAGUACUGGUUCUUCCAUCAGCAUAUAAAAAAUUCCUUCAAAGCAACUCCCCCAGGACCCUGGAUAGGAGGCAAGGCAGGUGUUCACCUGGACAGGGCCUGAUGCUCCAGAUGUUGCCCUUUUUGGUCUGUGCUAACCUGCCGAGGUCUUAAUAGAGACAGUGUGGUCUAGUGUGUAGGUCACUCGACAAGGAGGCAGAUUUCAAAACCUGCCGCAUUUUCUUUCUUCCUUCCUCAGAUGGCAAGAGGCAGACAACUCAACUAAAGAGAAGAGGAUUUACAGCAAGUUGCUGACCCAGCUUACAGCACAGCUGUCCUCUUCCAUAGAAUGGGAAGAAGUUUUAUGCUUUUAUGCUUCUCUGUACCGUCAACCUCAAAGUUUGAAAACAAGUAAGAACCUUCUAUCUUGGGGAAGUCUGGCAAAUGCUCCAUAGAGGCUGCUGUGGAAGGGAAUCAUUCCACAUCCCAUGAUAGGAUAAGGCAUGAAAUCCUGCCUGGGAAAACAAGAGCGGCACAGGGAAUGGGCUUCAGUCCUGUCUCAUUCACAUGGUCUUGGACACAUCCUAUAUGCUUCUGGGACAUGCUUUUCUCUAUCUGUCAAACAACGGGGUGCUCUAAAGACCUUGCUGCUGUAGCGAUCUUGCUUCACCUUGGGUAAAUGCGGCCGUCAUAGGAGAGGAAGUAGGGUCUUUGUCCUCAUGGGUCUCCCACCAGGCCCAAGGUUUCUCCAAGCCCUGCUGACCCAGGAGGGCCACUCCUAGCCCCUCUGCCAAGAAUCUACUUUCCUUCCCUCAUUGACUGAUCAUGCUCAGAAAUCAGCUAAUUUGGGGAUGGGGGGAGUCCAACAUGAAAGAAACACUACAAAGAAACUCUUAGGUAAGCUCUCCACCUCUACACACACCCAUACACAUACACUGACACAGACACAUACAGGAGCCCUGAAAUAUAAGUAUAUUCCCUUCCGUGUAUCAAACCUCUUUUGCCCUCCUGAAUUGCCAGUGUGCUGGGAGAGACUUCAGUCCCACAGCAGAAAAGCACUGCUUCCACUUACGGAACUCAGCUAAACCUCAGUGUUUGGGGAUGACCCUGGGCACAGGUUGAAGCUAAAGGUCCUAACACACCUCAAUUGCAGUGCAGAAAUGCAGACUUUACCAGCCAUGAUUGGGGCAGUAGCUAACUAAAAGCACAGGACCAGGAUCCAGAUCCUUCCUUCCUUGCUCUUCCACUUCCACUGCCUCCCCCACCCUAAAUGUGUUAUUCUGUAACAGUGGUCGCCUGCUUGAGCCUGCUUAUCUGCCUGCAUAGAGUGCUGUCGACUUGCUCUGUAAUGCACUGUAUAUGUGUAUGUCCUGACUCUGUGGUUUACUGCAAAUAAAAAUGACAGCAGGUGGCUGACCUCUGA
This is a long non-coding RNA of Nomascus leucogenys (northern white-cheeked gibbon), 1471 nucleotides long. RefSeq lists it as uncharacterized. The transcript is spliced from 2 exons. The record is from RefSeq and is a predicted model, not a curated record. Lineage: Eukaryota; Metazoa; Chordata; Mammalia; Primates; Hylobatidae.